AGCCUGUUCUAUAAUCGAUAAUCCACGAUAUACCUAACCACUUCUUGCUAUGCAGCCUGUAUACCUCCGUCGUAAGCUUACCAUUUGAAUGCAUGUAGUGGGCUUAAGGACUCAACGCCAAAACGUCAGGUCAAGGUGCAGCCUAUGAAGUGGAAGCAAUGAGCUACAAUUUCUAAAUUAGAACAAACAAAACACUACAUGAAACAUAGCCACAAGGAGGAUCUAGUAGUAAAUAAGAAAUAGAGAGCCUUAUUAAAUUUUGGCCAUAGGAUGUGUACAAACCGCCCGUCACCCUCUUCGAUAU
This 304-nucleotide ribosomal RNA is filed under the name Philautus sp. TBGRI2001.0091. Its description in RNAcentral is "partial 12S ribosomal RNA". The record is from RNAcentral. Lineage: Eukaryota; Metazoa; Chordata; Amphibia; Anura; Rhacophoridae.